CCACACACGAAGAAUUGGUAAGUACAAAAGCACGUUUUUUCAACAGAGAGCUUCGGUAGCUGAAAAGAAGCAUCAAACGACUUUUAGAAAAUGGCCAAGGAGUGAUUCGUUCCGAGCAGUAGUUUGCAAGGCGACGACGGUAGCGACCGUUAUCUGGCUAGAGUAUGAUCGUACUCGAAAAGGAGCUGUAUGCGAGUGCAGCUUAAACUGAGGUGGUAACACGCAAAAAGGCGUCCUCAAA
Molecule: non-coding RNA, 241 nt
Organism: Enterococcus casseliflavus EC20
Lineage: Bacteria; Bacillati; Bacillota; Bacilli; Lactobacillales; Enterococcaceae
Source: Rfam